GGCUGCUCUCGCCGAUAGGUCUGUGCGGCGCUGCAUGAAGUCGAACGCACCUUUAAUUUUCGUUGACGAAACCCAGCAAACAAUGACAAACAAUGACCUGGCGGUCCACCAGCGUUUUUUGGGCGGCACAAAUUCAGCGGCUUAAUACGGUCGGAACACCAUCGGCGAGCCGACCAAUCUAAAAACGCUGUCGGUCAGCAGGCGUUUUUUUGGGUGGCACGCCACCAGCGGUCUGCCGCGGCUGGGCCUCCGUCGGUGCACCAGUGGCAAGCCUUCUGUCCCGUGUUUCUACUGAGCUCUUACAUGACAUCUUUGUUUUAUAAAUUAUAUAUAUUACAUUUAUGUUUUACAUUACAUUUUUACAGUUAAAAGGAAUCUGAAGCAGAAUAAAAAUAGUGAGAGUUAUAAUUAUUAACAAAAGUUUAGUAUAAAAACUGCAAGCACAUUUUUAAAUGAAAUAAAUAGUUUGAACGAUUGUAAAAACAACAAUACAAAAUCUAAUAAAAAAAAAAAAAGCAAAAAAAAAAAUCUAUAAAAAUUAAAUAAAAAUAAAAGUGCUACUUUGUCCCACUAUCACGUGCGGGUUGCAGUUUACACCUAUGUAUGAAUGGGUCAUAUAACUACAAAAAGAUUAAAAUUCAAAAUUAAAUAAUUUUUUUGUUUUUGUUUUAUAUAAUGUUUAUUUAAAUUGUGCGUGACUGUGACAUGUUUUGACGGACUCCAGCUCUGAGUCUCAUUCAAACGCUGCAGGGAGGGAGUUACCAUGGAAAUGGGGCGGCAACUCUCCAACCGACAGCUGCAGCACUGCGUCUCUUGCUGCUGUUUUCACCGUUUUCAGGAGUAACACUUCUACAACAGAAGAGAAGCUUCAAGAUAUCUAAAUUUCUGAAGGAAGGUGCUGACAGAGAUGUGGGAAACAUAGGUUUCCCAUCCCAGUGUUACUACAGUUUGGAUCCAGCCUCACUUGUGGUUACUUCAGAUGAAGACCCCAGAUGAUGGCAACUAUAGAUGAACAUACCAACCUGACAAAUGUUAUGUAUUGCAAUCAUUGCCUUAAAGCAUACGUUGAGUGAUUUUCAACCCACUUUGUAUUGUUACUAUGAUGGUAAUAUAUGUGAACGAACAAUGUUUAAUCUUUCUCUGAGUUCCAUGAGAUACACCCAUUUAUUUGUCAGCCAAAGAAUAUUUUGCAUUAUCUGAAUAUUGAUUAUUUACAUAUUACAGACUUUGUGGCAGUAUAAAGUGGAUUUAAAUUCACCAAACUUACCCUUUAAUGUUUGUCUGUUUAACUGAACAUGACUUUGAACACAUAACUUGUAUUAUCUUAGAGUUAUUGACAUAUAGACAUUAAUUUGUUGCCAGAAGAUGCUCCCCAUUGAGUCACAGUCACCUCUGGCUGUUGAUAGGAAUUUUUUUUUGAAACUUUGAAAUUUUCUAAAGCUGCUUUGAUUGUGAAAAGCAGUGUACCCUUACAACAGUUAACCAUGUUUUUACUAUGGUAAAACUAGUAAUCAUAACUGUAGUAAUCAGGGGUUUUUAGUUUUUCUCAAACUAAGGUUUUGAUAUCAUGGUUCUACAAUAGUAAUAUUUUAAUAAUGCUGGAGUAAAACUGUGGUAAGUAACCAUAGUUUUUGAAACCAUGGUGAAGUUUGUAGUUACUAUAGGUUUACUACUAUGCUGUAGUAAGACCAUGGUUAUGGUAGUUACUGUGAAUUUACUACAACAAUCAUAGUUAAACCAUGGUUAAUUUUGUGGUUGACUUUUGUACGGGUACAAAUAUGUGAAUUGAAUGCUUCUAUUUGAAAGUCACAUUGGAUAAAACUAUCUGAUAAAUAUACUGUAUGCAUUUGUAUGUUUAAU
Onychostoma macrolepis is the source of this 1860-nucleotide long non-coding RNA. RefSeq lists it as uncharacterized. The transcript is spliced from 3 exons. The record is from RefSeq and is a predicted model, not a curated record. NCBI's taxonomy places the organism in Eukaryota, Metazoa, Chordata, Actinopteri, Cypriniformes, Cyprinidae.